This 253-nucleotide ribosomal RNA is filed under the name uncultured bacterium. Its description in RNAcentral is "partial 16S ribosomal RNA". It matches the Rfam family "Bacterial small subunit ribosomal RNA", at positions 524 to 776 of the family's 1533-position model. The record is from RNAcentral.
UACGGAGGGAGCUAGCGUUGUUCGGAAUUACUGGGCGUAAAGCGCGCGUAGGCGGCUUUGUAAGUUAGAGGUGAAAGCCCGGGGCUCAACCCCGGAACUGCCUUUAAAACUGCAUCGCUUGAAUCCGGGAGAGGUGAGUGGAAUUCCGAGUGUAGAGGUGAAAUUCGUAGAUAUUCGGAAGAACACCAGUGGCGAAGGCGGCUCACUGGACCGGCAUUGACGCUGAGGUGCGAAAGCUAGGGUAGCAAACGGG